Molecule: ribosomal RNA, 255 nt
Filed under: uncultured bacterium
Lineage: Bacteria
Description: partial 16S ribosomal RNA
Rfam family: Bacterial small subunit ribosomal RNA
Source: RNAcentral
GGACGGGUGAGUAACGCGUGGGUAACCUGCCUUAUACAGGGGGAUAACAGUUAGAAAUGACUGCUAAUACCGCAUAAGCGCACAGGAUUGCAUGAUCUGGUGUGAAAAACUCCGGUGGUAUAAGAUGGACCCGCGUCUGAUUAGCUGGUUGGUGAGGUAACGGCCCACCAAGGCGACGAUCAGUAGCCGACCUGAGAGGGUGACCGGCCACAUUGGGACUGAGACACGGCCCAAACUCCUACGGGAGGCAGCAUG